Molecule: long non-coding RNA, 1212 nt
Filed under: Homo sapiens (human)
Lineage: Eukaryota; Metazoa; Chordata; Mammalia; Primates; Hominidae
Description: novel transcript
Source: RNAcentral
GCUAAACUGAGGGAUGGGCAGAGAAGGGCAAACUGUAACUACAGUUUAUUUUAGCUCAUGUUUAAAUACAGGAUAUACUCUGUUUUCCUUCUGUACAGGAGAGGGAACUCUUCACAGAUGGGAAGCAUUUCCUGUGAGCCUGUAAUUGUAUAAGCUGGGAGUAAAGAGGAUGCCCAGGUACACAUUUUUGGCUAUGUUUUUGCUGGUGGUGAUCAUGGAGGUGGCUUUUGUUUCUUUCAGCCAUAAGGCUAGUGAGAAUUUUUUCUCCUAAUUAAAGUAAAUCUGGAGGCAUCAUGCUACCUGACUUCAAACUAUACUACAAGGCUACAGUAACCAAAACAGCAUGGUACCGGUACCAAAACAGAGAUAUAGAUCAAUGGAACAGAACAGAGCCCUCAGAAAUAACACCGCAUAUCUACAACUAUCUGAUCUUUGACAAACCUGAGAAAAACAAGCAAUGGGGAAAGGAUUCCCUAUUUAAUAAAUGGUGCUGGGAAAACUGGCUAGCCAUAUGUAGAAAGCUGAAACUGGAUCCCUUCCUUACACCUUAUACAAAAAUUAAUUCAAGAUGGAUUAAAUACUUAAACGUUAGACCUAAAACCAUAAAAACCGUAGAAGAAAACCUAGGCAUUACCAUUCAGGACAUAGGCAUGGGCAAGGACUUCAUGUCUAAAACACCAAAAGCAAUGGCAACAAAAGCCAAAAUUGACAAAUGGGAUCUAAUUAAACUAAAGAGCUUCUGCACAGCAAAAGAAACUACCAUCAGAGUGAACAGGCAACCUACAAAAUGGGAGAAAAUUUUUGCAACCUACUCAUCUGACAAAGGACUAAUAUCCAGAAUCUACAAUGAAUUCAAACAAAUUUACAAGAAAAAAACAAACAACCCCAUCAAAAAGUGGGCGAAAGACAUGAACAGACACUUCUCAAAAGAAGACAUUUAUGCAGCCAAAAAACACAUGAAAAAAUGCUCACCAUCACUGGCCAUCAGAGAAAUGCAAAUCAAAACCACAAUGAGAUACCAUCUCACACCAGUUAGAAUGGCAGUCAUUAAAAAGUCUGGAAACAACAGGUGCUGGAGAGGAUGUGGAGAAAUAGGAACACUUUUACACUGUUGGUGGGACUGUAAACUAGUUCAACCAUUGUGGAAGUCAGUGUGGCGAUUCCUCAGGGAUCUAGAAUAGAAAUACCAUUUGACCCAGCCAUCCCAUUACU